AAGUCGUAACAAGGUUUCCGUAGGUGAACCUGCGGAAGGAUCAUUAUUGAAUGAAUGUAGAGUCGGUUGUAGCUGGCCUUCGGGCAUGUGCACGCCUUCUCUUUCAUCCACACACACCUGUGCACCUGUGAGACGGACGCCCGAGAGGGUUUCCGUCUGCUCUACAUAAACACUAUAUAUUUAAAACGAAUGUAAACGAUGUAAACACAUCUUUAAACUAAGUUUCAACAACGGAUCUCUUGGCUCUC
This 248-nucleotide unclassified non-coding RNA is filed under the name Ceratobasidiaceae sp. RNAcentral describes it as "partial contains small subunit ribosomal RNA, internal transcribed spacer 1, and 5.8S ribosomal RNA". The stretch from base 1 to 46 matches the Rfam family "Eukaryotic small subunit ribosomal RNA", at positions 1786 to 1831 of the family's 1831-position model. Lineage: Eukaryota; Fungi; Basidiomycota; Agaricomycetes; Cantharellales; Ceratobasidiaceae. The record is from RNAcentral.